AAUGAACGUUGGCGGCGUGGAUUAGGCAUGCAAGUCGAGCGAGAAUUUGCGAUUGGAAGCUUCGGCCGAAGAAAGUGAAGGAAAGCGGCAAACGGCGUAGUAAGGCGUAGGUACGUACCCUCGGGUCGGGAAUAGCCAUGGGAAACUGUGGGUAAUGCCCGAUAAUCUCUGCGGAGCAAAGGUGUGAUUCCGCCGGAGGAGCGGCUUACGUGAUAUUAGCUAGUUGGUGGGGUAAUGGCCUACCAAGGCAACGAUGUCUAGGGGGUGUGAGAGCAUGGCCCCCACGACCGGAACUGAGACACUGUCCGGACACCUACGGGUGGCUGCAGUCGAGAAUCUUCCGCAAUGGGCGAAAGCCUGACGGAGCGACGCCGCGUGGUGGAUGAAGGCCCUUGGGUUGUAAACACCUGUCAGAGGGGAUGAAAUCAUGGUUGGCAAUCCUUCCAUGUUGACAGAGCCUCAGAGGAAGCACGGGCUAAGUACGUGCCAGCAGCCGCGGUAA
RNAcentral lists this ribosomal RNA (502 nucleotides) under uncultured bacterium. RNAcentral's name for it is "bacterial SSU rRNA". It matches the Rfam family "Bacterial small subunit ribosomal RNA", at positions 29 to 523 of the family's 1533-position model. The record is from RNAcentral.